Long non-coding RNA from Myotis lucifugus (little brown bat), 976 nucleotides. RefSeq lists it as uncharacterized. The record is from RefSeq and is a predicted model, not a curated record. The transcript is spliced from 5 exons. Lineage: Eukaryota; Metazoa; Chordata; Mammalia; Chiroptera; Vespertilionidae.
GCGUGUAUGUGUGCGUGCGCGGGUGGUGUCUGGGCUGUCUCCAGGGCACACCAAUGGGAAGGACCCAUCAGAAGAGAAGAUGCAUGGUCCAGGCUCUGUCAUGGACAGACAAACAGCCUUGGACAGAUGACUUCAUCUGGGUCCGUUUGUUUAGCUGUCUCCAAAAGGAAAUUCUGCCCAGACCAGGCGAGGGGAAAUUUUCAAGGAACUGGAUGGAGCUCGAAGCAUCUUCUCCAGCAGAUCCAAUAUGUGGUCCUCCAAGCGGCAGCCUGGGGACUCACGGUCUGGCAGCCAGGAUGCCCCUGCAGACCUGGUGCAGGACCGGCUGAGGUGGGCUGAUAGCCGGCUGCCGUUCCACAGGCCCAGGGGCUUGCGGAAGGCACAUGGGUCACAGCCCAGCCUCCAGGAGGAGGAGACUUAGACACCAGGACAAGUGCACCCUUUUGCAAAGUCCCGAGGCAAGGAUACUGGAGGAAGAUGAUCCUGCAUUGGGUGGAUAUGAAGGCAUUCGGUUUGGAUGGAUGCACUAAGCAGCAGGCCAAUGCAAUAUUACCUGCAGAUCCCGGCAAAGACUCAGAAAGUCCAGUUGGCACCUUGGGCAGGGAUGGCGGCCCUCUGCUCCAUCUAGUCAUUCAGGGAAGGGCUGCUGUUGUUGACAUGAGGAGUUAAGGUCAUCCCAGGAGGGUGAGGACAGCACAAGCAGGACUGGGCAACAGGCGUCUGCAACCUACACCCAGACCCUGGCUUUUACUGUCAGGGAGGUGAGAGGUCAAGGAAGAGGGAGGCCAUAGUGCAAGGAAUCUCGUGGAUGGAGAUGAUGAGGUCAGAACUGGGAUGCACAGGCAACUCAUGAUCAAGACACCAAAAUCUUCAGUGCCUGAGAGGACGUGGUUGACCAGAGGGGCUCAUUAAUCACCUCUCUGUUCCUCCUGCUUUGUGCUCUGGUGUGUAUGUAUAAUAAACGUUUUAAAAUGCA